GUGGAGCGAAAUUUAGUAGUGAAGUAUGUGAGCCAUGUGCCGAGAAAAGCCGCUAUUGUUUUAUAUGUGCCCGUACCGUAAACCGACACAGGUGGAUGAGGAGAAAAUCCUAAGGCCGACGGAAGAAGCAUUGUUAAGGAAUUCGGCAAAAUGACCCCGUAACUUCGGGAGAAGGGGUGCCCACUGAAUGGUGGGCCGCAGAGAAUAGGCUCAAGCAACUGUUUAGCAAAAACACAGGUCUAUGCGAAACCGAAAGGUGAAGUAUAUGGGCUGACGCCUGCCCGGUGCUGGAAGGUUAAGAGGAGAGGUUAGCGUAAGCGAAGCUUUGAAUUUAAGCCCCAGUAAACGGCGGCCGUAACUAUAACGGUCCUAAGGUAGCGAAAUUCCUUGUCGGGUAAGUUCCGACCCGCACGAAAGGCGUAAUGAUUUGAGCACUGUCUCGACAAUGCAUCCGGUGAAAUUGAAGUACCAGUGAAGAUGCUGGUUACCCGCGCCAGGACGGAAAGACCCCAUGGAGCUUUACUCCAGUUUGAUACUGGGAUUCGGUACUGCACGUACAGGAUAGGUGGGAGACUGAGAACUAUGGACGCCAGUCUGUAGGGAGUCGCUGUUGGGAUACCACCCCUGUAGUACUGGGUUUCUAACCAUCUGCCGUGAUCCGGCAGUGGGACAAUGUCAGGCGGGGAGUUUGACUGGGGCGGUCGCCUCCGAAAGGGUAUCGGAGGCGCUCAAAGGUUCCCUCAGAAUGGUCGGAAACCAUUUGAAGAGUGCAAAGGCAGAAGGGAGCUUGACUGCGACACCGACGGGUGGAGCAGGUACGAAAGUAGGACUUAGUGAUCCGGUGGUAUAAAGUGGGAUUGCCAUCGCUCAACGGAUAAAAGCUACCCUGGGAUAACAGGCUUAUCACUCCCAAGAGUUCACAUCGACGGAGUGGUUUGGCACCUCGAUGUCGGCUCAUCGCAUCCUGGGGCUGUAGCAGGUCCCAAGGGUUGGGCUGUUCGCCCAUUAAAGCGGUACGCGAGCUGGGUUCAGAACGUCGUGAGACAGUUCGGUCCCUAUCCGGCGCGGGCGGAGGAUAUUUGAGAGGAGCUGUCCUUAGUACGAGAGGACCGGGAUGGACGGACCACUGGUGUAUCUGUUGUCGACCAACGGCAUGGCAGAGUAGCCAAGUCCGGAAGGGAUAAACGCUGAAGGCAUCUAAGCGUGGAGCCCCCCUCAAGAUGAGAUAUCCCUCCUUCGGGAGUAAGACCCCUUGAAGACUACAAGGUAGAUAGGGCAGAGGUGGAAGUGUGGCAACACAUGGAGCUGACUGUUACUAAUAGGUCGAGGGCUUGGU
This 1336-nucleotide ribosomal RNA is filed under the name metagenome. Its description in RNAcentral is "bacterial LSU rRNA". It matches the Rfam family "Bacterial large subunit ribosomal RNA", at positions 1563 to 2925 of the family's 2925-position model. The record is from RNAcentral.